UUUUAAAUGGCCGCAGUAUUUUGACUGUGCAAAGGUAGCAUAAUCAUUAGUUUUUUAAUUAAAAGCUUGUAUGAAAGGCUGGACGAGGUAAAAUCUGUCUCUAUUUAAAUUAUAGUAGAAUUUAACUUUUAAGUUAAAAGGCUUAAAUAUUAUUAAAAGACGAGAAGACCCUAUAGAUCUUUAUAGUUUAUUAAAUUAAAUUAAUUUAGAAAUAUUAAUGUUUUAUUUAACUAAAUUAUUUUAUUGGGGUAAUAAAAAGAUUGAAUUAAUUCUUUUUUACAAUAAACAUUAAUUUAUGAAUAUUAAUGAUCCAGUUUUACUGAUUAUAAGAUUAAGUUACCUUAGGGAUAACAGCGUAAUUUUUUUAGAGAGUUCAUAUCGAUAAAAAAGUUUGCGACCUCGAUGUUGGAUUAAAGAUUAUUUUAGGUGUAGAAGCUUAAUAAUUUUGGUCUGUUCGACCAUUAAAUCUUUACAUGAUCUGAGUUCAGACCGGCGUAAGCCAGGUCGGUUUCUAUCUUUAAUAAAAUAAAAUAUUUUAGUACGAAAGGACCAAAUAUUUGAUAUAUUUAUAUUUAAUUUAUUGAAUAUUA
RNAcentral lists this ribosomal RNA (590 nucleotides) under Carabus lusitanicus breuningi. RNAcentral's name for it is "partial large subunit ribosomal RNA". It matches the Rfam family "Bacterial large subunit ribosomal RNA", at positions 1921 to 2748 of the family's 2925-position model. Lineage: Eukaryota; Metazoa; Arthropoda; Insecta; Coleoptera; Carabidae. The record is from RNAcentral.